GACGAACGCUGGCGGCGUGCCUAAUACAUGCAAGUAGAACGCUGAAGAGAGGAGCUUACUCUUCUUGGAUGAGUUGCGAACGGGUGAGUAGCGCGUAGGUAACCUGCCUUGUAGCGGGGGAUAACUAUUGGAAACGAUAGCUAAUACCGCAUAACAAUGGAUGACACAUGUCAUUUAUUUGAAAGGGGCAAUUGCUCCACUACAAGAUGGACCUGCGUUGUAUUAGCUAGUAGGUGAGGUAAUGGCUCACCUAGGCGACGAUACAUAGCCGACCUGAGAGGGUGAUCGGCCACACUGGGACUGAGACACGGCCCAGACUCCUACGGGAGGCAGCAGUAGGGAAUCUUCGGCAAUGGGGGCAACCCUGACCGAGCAACGCCGCGUGAGGGAAGAAGGGUUUCGGAUCGUAAAGCUCUGCUGUAAGUCAAGAACGGGUGUGAGAGUGGAAAGUUCACACUGUGACGGUAGCUUACCAGAAAGGGACGGCUAACUACGUG
This 497-nucleotide ribosomal RNA is filed under the name uncultured bacterium. RNAcentral's name for it is "partial 16S ribosomal RNA". It matches the Rfam family "Bacterial small subunit ribosomal RNA", at positions 28 to 507 of the family's 1533-position model. The record is from RNAcentral.